RNAcentral lists this ribosomal RNA (460 nucleotides) under uncultured Treponema sp. Its description in RNAcentral is "partial 16S ribosomal RNA". It matches the Rfam family "Bacterial small subunit ribosomal RNA", at positions 341 to 792 of the family's 1533-position model. Lineage: Bacteria; Pseudomonadati; Spirochaetota; Spirochaetia; Treponematales; Treponemataceae. The record is from RNAcentral.
ACGGGAGGCAGCAGCUAAGAAUAUUCCGCAAUGGACGAAAGUCUGACGGAGCGACGCCGCGUGGAUGAUGAAGGCCGGAAGGUUGUAAAAUCCUUUUAUAACUGAGGAAUAAGUAAGGUGAGAGAAACGCCUUAUGGUGACUGUAGGUUAUGAAUAAGCAACGGCUAAUUACGUGCCAGCAGCCGCGGUAACACGUAAGUUGCGAGCGUUGUUCGGAAUUAUUGGGCGUAAAGGGCAUGUAGGCGGUUUUGCAAGCUUGGUGUGAAAUCCCGGAUCUUAACUCCGGAAGUGCGUUGAGAACUGGAUAACUAGAGUCACUGGGGGGCAAUCAGAAUUCCUGGUGUAGGGGUGAAAGCUGUAGAUAUCAGGAAGAAUACCAAUGGCGAAGGCAGGUUACCAGCAGAUGGCUGACGCUGAGGUGCGAAGGUGCGGGGAGCAAACAAGAUUAGAUACCAUGGUA